This 1189-nucleotide unclassified non-coding RNA is filed under the name Amphibalanus amphitrite. RNAcentral's name for it is "uncharacterized LOC122376447, transcript variant X2". Lineage: Eukaryota; Metazoa; Arthropoda; Thecostraca; Balanomorpha; Balanidae. The record is from RNAcentral.
UUCAAUUUUUCCGGCACGUUUGCGUUGUCAUGGUAACCAUGGCGGCGUUCUAUAUUUGCCAGAGCUCUUUGCACACUGUCCGUGAUUUGAUUUCAAGCUGAACAGUUCGAUAAGUACCCAUUUAUACGGCCUUGGUACCCAUAACCUAGGUGAAGAAAUCGUUCAGAAUUUCUAGAGUGAUAUAUUAAAAUUUAACAGUUUGAUUGGUGACUGGAAAAAUAUUGUGAUUCCGUUUCAUUCAUGGUGAAGCGAGGCGGAAGAGAUCAUGAGUGAAGACUUCAACGAGACUCUCAUCGAGGCCGUAAGAAAAAACGCCAGUCUCUGGGACAAACGGUCCAAACAUUAUAUGAAGAAGAAGUCGGCGAAGGAACUCGACUGGCGAAAUGUGGCUGAGGAGUGCCAGGCUGACGCUCAACGUCUUCGCUCGCCUUGCGACCUGAUGCAUGCACCAAUCUCCGAGCAAACCCAGCCAUAACCGCGCCUGCUCCUGCAUCCGUCAAUGAGAACCAAUCCUUCAUUUAUGUUGACGAUGGGAACCAACUUAUUGAGGUUGAGCUACAGAACAAACAGGAGAGCGGUUCGUCUUUGAUCAACGUGACACGGGAGCUCGCGCGCUUAGACGGAGACACACAGCACGAAGAAGACGACACACAGUUCACACAUUACCCAAACACAGAGACAGCACACGGAGAUUUCGAAAGUUCACACGACAGCACACAGACCCCAACAACAUCUGUCCUUAGUAAUGACCAGGCCACGACACAUAACACUCCAGUCUGUACCACCUCGCAGCGGGGAUCCAAAAGAAAAUCACCUACUCAGGAUAUUGAUGCAGUUAUCUUAGAAGAACUGUCAAAGGGGCGAAGCAGGGAACAAGAUAGAGAUUACACAUUCUGCAUGAACUUGUACGCAGAGCUGAAGCACCGAAGCGAUGUGACGAAAAGAAUCAUUAAGCGUAUCGUCAUGGAAACACUCGACCGUCACCAUGAGUGAUCGCUGUCUUGCGAACCUGCAUGUGUCCAUUGUUGCAGCAUCAGUUGUUGAUCAGUUGUAGGUAGGUGUCGGUUAGGUAUAUUUAUGUUUUGAAUGUUGUCCCAAUGUAUACAUUGGCUGUUAUGCUAUGUUUCAGCAGUGCCUGAAACAUUUUUGUGGUGUUUCAUUAUGAUGUUACCUCGAAUAAAUGGUUUUC